GACGAACGCUGGCGGCGUGCUUAACACAUGCAAGUCGAACGGAAAGGCCCUGCUUUUGUGGGGUGCUCGAGUGGCGAACGGGUGAGUAACACGUGAGUAACCUGCCCUUGACUUUGGGAUAACUUCAGGAAACUGGGGCUAAUACCGGAUAGGAGCUCCUGCUGCAUGGUGGGGGUUGGAAAGUUUCGGCGGUUGGGGAUGGACUCGCGGCUUAUCAGCUUGUUGGUGGGGUAGUGGCUUACCAAGGCUUUGACGGGUAGCCGGCCUGAGAGGGUGACCGGCCACAUUGGGACUGAGAUACGGCCCAGACUCCUACGGGAGGCAGCAGUGGGGAAUAUUGCACAAUGGGCGGAAGCCUGAUGCAGCAACGCCGCGUGCGGGAUGACGGCCUUCGGGUUGUAAACCGCUUUCGCCUGUGACGAAGCGUGAGUGACGGUAAUGGGUAAAGAAGCACCGGCUAACUACGUGCCAGCAGCCGCGGUGAUACGUAGGGUGCGAGCGUUGUCCGGAUUUAUUGGGCGUAAAGGGCUCGUAGGUGGUUGAUCGCGUCGGAAGUGUAAUCUUGGGGCUUAACCCUGAGCGUGCUUUCGAUACGGGUUGACUUGAGGAAGGUAGGGGAGAAUGGAAUUCCUGGUGGAGCGGUGGAAUGCGCAGAUAUCAGGAGGAACACCAGUGGCGAAGGCGGUUCUCUGGGCCUUUCCUGACGCUGAGGAGCGAAAGCGUGGGGAGCGAACAGGCUUAGAUACCCUGGUAGUCCACGCUGUAAACGGUGGGUACUAGGUGUGGGGUCCAUUCCACGGGUUCCGUGCCGUAGCUAACGCUUUAAGUACCCCGCCUGGGGAGUACGGCCGCAAGGCUAAAACUCAAAGGAAUUGACGGGGCCCCGCACAAGCGGCGGAGCAUGCGGAUUAAUUCGAUGCAACGCGUAGAACCUUACCUGGGUUUGACAUGGAUCGGGAGUGCUCAGAGAUGGGUGUGCCUCUUUUGGGGUCGGUUCACAGGUGGUGCAUGGCUGUCGUCAGCUCGUGUCGUGAGAUGUUGGGUUAAGUCCCGCAACGAGCGCAACCCUUGUUCACUGUUGCCAGCACGUUAUGGUGGGGACUCAGUGGAGACCGCCGGGGUCAACUCGGAGGAAGGUGGGGAUGACGUCAAGUCAUCAUGCCCCUUAUGUCCAGGGCUUCACGCAUGCUACAAUGGCUGGUACAGAGAGUGGCGAGCCUGUGAGGGUGAGCGAAUCUCGGAAAACCGGUCUCAGUUCGGAUUGGGGUCUGCAACUCGACCUCAUGAAGUCGGAGUCGCUAGUAAUCGCAGAUCAGCAACGCUGCGGUGAAUACGUUCCCGGG
RNAcentral lists this ribosomal RNA (1343 nucleotides) under uncultured bacterium. Its description in RNAcentral is "16S ribosomal RNA". It matches the Rfam family "Bacterial small subunit ribosomal RNA", at positions 28 to 1378 of the family's 1533-position model. The record is from RNAcentral.